UUGGAUAAAAGCGUCUGCUAAAUGCAGAAAAUACAAUACACAAUACACUAGUGGGGUAGUAUGCAAAAAAAUCAGGCUACUUCUGGCUGUUUUGCAAGUGCAUAUAUUCCCCUCUUUGUGAAUCAAUGCUUAAUGAAUGUUAAAUUUAAGCAUACGCAAUAAUGUACAACAUGUACGGACUGUAGAUGGGUUAGUAAUCACAAAACUGAGGUUGUUGCACAACAGACUCGUAACUCGCAGCAGAAACAUUCUCAGUUGAAUUCAUGAGCUGGAGAGAAAAAAUAGCAACACAGUAAACAGGAUGUUGCUUGUCAGUGGGGCUAUCCUGGUGAGCGCAGGGGUUGCCAUGGUUACCAUUUCCUGAGAAAUUUACAGCCAAUCAAAAGAGGGAAAAGAGGUUUUACAGACUGUCUGCACUUGGAAACGCAGGGUAGAAUGACAUUGUGUCAGUGGGUUCACUUGACACACUUCAGUGAACCCAAAAAGCAUGGCACACGUUUUAGCACUCACACUCGUUUUAUAGUUGAGACUAGCGUUGUUUUAUGCUGUCUGCGUCUCUGUAAAUGUGUCUGGGUCGAUUUCCUAGACCUAAAAUGAACACAAGUAGCAGUUUUAAUGAUGUUUCAAAGCUUCAAGAUGAGGGGGUUUUUAUGUAAGAGAAUGAGAGCUUGUGAUAUUUGCAUUUGUGACCUUAUAUAACAAUAUCAAUAUUUCAUUUGUGUUGUUUUCAUGUACAGUACCGCGUCCUUGAACAUCUGUAGCAGAUGAGUUAUAUAACCUAGAAAAUGGGCCACCUCAUGGACGGGAGAAAGAGGAAAAACCCAAAAGCACAUGAGAGGUUAUAAGGAUUCAGCCACAAUAUCUUUCGGCUUUGAGAAACGCGAAGCAGCGGUCUGAGAAGCAGCGAACUGCAGCCUACACCGGCACAGAUUUCGGUGAUAGACAGCAGGAAGCAAGGGCUGCGUCUGACGCGCUGAACUUUAGAUCCUGGAAAAUCCCCAUAAAGUCUGCGAAACCAAACAAACCGGAGCAGAUGCAUCUGAUCUCAUUCCUGUUUAUGCUGCUCAGACUGAAUAUGCAGUCCCUUUCUUCUGGAAUAUGUGGGUGCAGAUCCUGGGAAUGACUGAUUUGACGAGAUAACACUUAGAAUGUGGCUUAAAAUAGCUGCGGGACGUUUGCUGUUGAGCGGUUGUUGAUGUCAGAUAACACUGCCGUGGGGGAGGCUGGGAUUUGAGACGAGCUAUUCCUGUCCGUCAGCUCCGGGCCACACCACAACCUCAGAGAAGAUUUCUCUGAACUCUUUCAGCCCGUCCUCAGAGUCAGAAACAUCUGAUAGAUGGAGCAGAGUCAUUUAACGCUUGAAGGAUGCAGACAGCUCCUUUAAACACAAACCUCUUCAGGGAGACAGAAACACACAAGUAAACAAGCAUCCGUGCAGCAAAGAAUGAACACAAGGCCGCUGCUGGGCUGAUGUCAAAGGUCAUCCCUCCUCUCCUCUCCGUUUCCAUGCAUUCACUUCCUCGACCCAUCAGAUGGUCACUAAUCUGCUGAGCUGGUGCCUCGACGAGAGACGGAUAAGCCGUGAUUGGACCAUGACAGCGCCUGAAAUAACUGCUUGUUGACGGUCAUUCAGACAAACUGAAUGAGCUGUUACGGGAUUUUUAUCUGUAAUGGAGAGUGAGAUAUGGCUGGAGUCCCGCUGAGCAGAAACUCGCAUUACAGACGCAAAGCAGCGUGGGAAACCUGGGGUUAAGCAUUGCACAAUGCAACGUGGGACAUCCAUCUGUUUUGUGUCAACUCGCCCCAACGGUGCACCGUAGGCCAAAACAUUUAUAAUGAGAAGAGACAAAUAUGAAGGGAUUAGACAUGUCAGUGUAAUAGUUUGCACUUCAGACUUGAUUUGAAAUGACUUUGCAUUUUCUGAUUUAAAAAUAUAUAAUGGACUGUUUUUACAGCCUGUUUUUACAUAAAGGGACUUUAUGUAGAAUUCAGAAACUCUUGGUAUUAGCGACACCGGUGGCCGUUAAGUGAACUGCAGCCAGCGCCAUAUUGCUUGUGCUUAUGUUCUUCGCUUAGAAGUAAAAAGAAGUUGGAAAUACCCUUGCAGCUUUCCUCUCAAUAACAAAAUAAACACAAAAAUGACAGAGGUGAGAAAACAGCAGUUCAGAUAUGUUUGCACCAGCUCUGCGAUUCUCCGCCAUCAUGUCGACAGAUGAGGUCAUUACAAUUACACUGUUAUUAUAGUUUCAUUAUAAAGUAUAUUUGAGACUAUAGACUAUAUAAAUCUGACUGUGUGGGAAUAUAGUUUGAAUGAGUCCUUUUCUUUGAAUGACACACUGACAUUACUUUUAUCCUGAACAUUGUAUAAGCAUUAAUUUCAUGUGCCGUUGAAAGGAAGAGAGGAUCUAGGGAGCGCAUAAAUGUCACAUCCUUGAUUUUUCCUGGCAAAAAUGAGUCCUUCACAUUAAAAUCAGUCGACAGGCUUUCAUAGACAACCUAGGAGGUCGGGAAAGGUCUCGUUUUUCAAGUUUCAUUACAAGCUGUUCACACAUUGGCAAUACAAAAAGCGAUUAACACUUGAAAAUUCUUACAUAUAGCCCCUUUAAAUUUAUGAGGGCUUUGUGUUUUGGUUUGGACAUUAUAUGGCAAUGUAGAAUUUUAAAUUUAUUCCAGCUGUGAGCAUUUGAUGUCUCAGGGCCAAAUUAAUUUCCAAAGUCAACGUUCACAAGUGACUGAUUCUGCUGAAAGCACAGCGGAUCACAUAUUCAUAAGAGAAGCUGGUUUCAGUUGGUUUGGUUUUCAUGCCCAACAGAAGUCAACAUGUGGAUUAAUGAUGUGCACUACUCCCAUUAGACUAAUAAUGCCUCUGUAGUGUGUACUACGCAGUCAGACGCGCAAAGAAGUUCAUCUCACCGUUUGUGUUUGUUAUGCUAAAUGAUUCCUCGGAACAGGGCAGCAUUAACAAUAAAUUUGAUCAUAUGAUGAAGACAAAUAUACUUUAAUCUUAAUCUACAUACAGUAGAUGUGCAUUUACGCCAAAGCCACAUUUGUUCCAUACAGAAGCUUUUUGUUUUCAUUUAAUUAUGAUUUCAAGGUCCGAAACAUAUUACACAAGCACUUAAACAUGAGUGAUUCUUCUAGAUACGCAAUAGUUUUGCAUAGUUUUGCAAUGUAAACACGUUCUCCGCAUCGCCACAAGGGGCGAAAGAGUGAGCUUUAGUCAAAACGGUCUUCUUCUAAAGUCAAUUUUCACUUUCAGAUCAACAAUCAUCAUAGCAAGACUUAGAAGAGGAUCUAACUAACAAAAAAAUUGUAAAUUUGACAAAUAUUUGCAAAGAAAUAGCAAGUAGCAAGUAGAAAAACUGUAAUAGUAUUUCUUGUAAAACAUACUCCAAGCUUUAUUUACAACUUCAAAAAACCUAUAUAUUAUUUUGAAAAACAGUGUAUUUGAAGUUAGUGAAAGUGGUCAAAUGUUUCCAGCUAGCUUACUGAAUAUUAGCAGUAAAUUGGAAUAAAGCCCCGCUAUCCAUUUCUAGUUUCAACAUUAUUUCUUCUUCAGACAUUCCCCUUUAAAUGCAUAUCAGCUGUAUGCAAAGUGAACCACAUUUGGUUUUUGACCAUUAAAAAUGGGUAAAAUGCAAUAAAUUGAACAUGGAGUCGCUGAACCAUAUAGAAUAAGAAUUUAAAAAAAGUUUAAGAACCAGAAUAUAAAAUUAUAUUGAGAUAUCUUCAAUACUUUUUGACUUGCAGGCACCAAAUUGGAAAUGCAAUAUUUAUAACACUAUAUAGGUAUAUUAUAUUCUAUGCAAAAACAAGAUCCAUUUCUAGUUUCAACAUUUAUUUAUAUUUCAGAUAUUCCUCUUUAAAAGAAAAAAGUAUCAGCUGUAUGCAAAGUGACCCACAUUUUGUUUUUGGCCACUGAAAAUGGGUACAAUUGACUAAUUUACUCAUGGAGUCGCAUUAAGAUCUCCAUAUCUGUGGCAUUGUAACAUAUGGAGCCUUUAAAAUGAAGAUACCAAAAGAAAUGUUUGUUAAAAACCAAAAUAUGAAAGGAUAUUAAUACUUCUUGAGUUACAGGCAUGCAAAC
Molecule: long non-coding RNA, 4087 nt
Organism: Megalobrama amblycephala (Wuchang bream)
Lineage: Eukaryota; Metazoa; Chordata; Actinopteri; Cypriniformes; Xenocyprididae
Exons: 8
Source: RefSeq, a predicted model, not a curated record